GACAGAGGAGCCAAGCGUUGUCCGGAUUGACUGGGCGUAAAGCGCACGCAGGCGGUCGCGCGCGCGGGGUGUGAAAACUGGCGGCUUAACUGCCAGAGGCCAUCCCAUACGGCACGACUCGAGCCAUGCAGAGGUCCACGGAAUUGCCGGUGUAGUGGUGAAAUGCGUAGAGAUCGGCAGGAACACCCAGGGGGAAACCAGUGGACUGGGCAUGUGCUGACGCUCAGGUGCGAAAGCGUGGGGAGCGAACCGG
Molecule: ribosomal RNA, 253 nt
Filed under: uncultured bacterium
Lineage: Bacteria
Description: partial 16S ribosomal RNA
Rfam family: Bacterial small subunit ribosomal RNA
Source: RNAcentral